GAUGAACGCUGGCGGCGUGCUUAACACAUGCAAGUCGAACGGGACACCUUUUAUUGAUGCUUCGGCAGAUUUAGCUGGUUUCUAGUGGCGGACGGGUGAGUAACGCGUAGGUAACCUGACUUAUACAGGGGGAUAACAACCAGAAAUGGUUGCUAAUACCGCCUAAGCGCACAGGACCGCAUGGUUCGGUGUGAUAAACUCCGGUGGUAUAGGCUGGCCCGGCGUUGGGUUACCUAGUUGGCAGGGUAACGGCCUAUCAAGGCGACGAUCCAGAACCGGCCUGAGAGGGAGAUCGGGCACAUAGGUACUGAGACACGGCCCAGACGCCUACGUGAGGGAGCAGUGGGGGAUAUUGAACAAUGGGAGGAACCCUGAUGCAGCGACUACGCGUGAAGGAAGAAGUAUCUCGGUAUGUAAACUUCUAUCAGCAGGGAAGAUAGUGACGGUACCUGACUAAGAGGCCGCGGCUAACUACGUG
Molecule: ribosomal RNA, 478 nt
Filed under: uncultured bacterium
Lineage: Bacteria
Description: partial 16S ribosomal RNA
Rfam family: Bacterial small subunit ribosomal RNA
Source: RNAcentral